AACGAACGCUGGCGGCAGGCUUAACACAUGCAAGUCGAACGCCCGUAGCAAUACGGGAGUGGCGGACGGGUGAGUAACGCGUGGGAACGUACCCUGAGGUACGGAAUAACCGAGGGAAACUUCGGCUAAUACCGUAUGAGCCCCGCAAGGGGAAAGGAUUAUCGCCUUGGAGCGGCCCGCGUCGGAUUAGCUAGUUGGUGGGGUAACGGGCCUACCAAGGCUUCGAUCCGUAGCUGGUCUGAGAGGACGAUCAGCCACACUGGGACGUGAGACACGGCCCAGACUCCUACGGGAGGCAGCAGUGGGGAAGUCUUGCGCAAUGGGGGCGAACCCUGACGCAGCCAUGCCGCGUGAACGAUGAAGGCCUUAGGGUUGUAAAGUUCUUUUACCCGUGACGAUGAUGACGGUAACGGGGGAAGUAAGCUCCGGCUAACUUCGUGCCAGCAGCCGCGGUAAAGUCUGUACU
This 466-nucleotide ribosomal RNA is filed under the name uncultured bacterium. RNAcentral describes it as "bacterial SSU rRNA". It matches the Rfam family "Bacterial small subunit ribosomal RNA", at positions 29 to 531 of the family's 1533-position model. The record is from RNAcentral.